UCGGGAAUUUUGCGCAAUGGAGGAAACUCUGACGCAGUGACGCCGCGUAUAGGAAGAAGGUUUUCGGAUUGUAAACUAUUUUAGUCAGGGAAGAAAAUGACAGUACCUGAAGAAUAAGCUCCGGCUAACUACGUGCCAGCAGCCGCGGUAAUACGUAGGGAGCAAGCGUUAUCCGGAUUUAUUGGGUGUAAAGGGUGCGUAGACGGGAAGACAAGUUGGUUGUGAAAGCCCUCGGCUCAACUGAGGAACUGCAACCAAAACUAUCAUUCUUGAGUGCGGGAGAGGAAAGUGGAAUUCCUAGUGUAGCGGUGAAAUGCGUAGAUAUUAGGAGGAACACCAGUGGCGAAGGCGGCUUACUGGACGAUCACUGACGCUGAGGCUCGAAAGCGUGGGGAGCAAACA
RNAcentral lists this ribosomal RNA (402 nucleotides) under uncultured Acetivibrio sp. RNAcentral describes it as "bacterial SSU rRNA". It matches the Rfam family "Bacterial small subunit ribosomal RNA", at positions 355 to 774 of the family's 1533-position model. The record is from RNAcentral. Lineage: Bacteria; Bacillati; Bacillota; Clostridia; Acetivibrionales; Acetivibrionaceae.